RNAcentral lists this ribosomal RNA (800 nucleotides) under uncultured Bacillota bacterium. Its description in RNAcentral is "bacterial SSU rRNA". It matches the Rfam family "Bacterial small subunit ribosomal RNA", at positions 1 to 799 of the family's 1533-position model. The record is from RNAcentral. Lineage: Bacteria; Bacillati; Bacillota.
AGGAGAGUUUGAUCCUGGCUCAGGACGAACGCUGGCGGCGUGCCUAACACAUGCAAGUCGAGCGGAGAUAUGAGGAACGGAGGCUUCGGCGGAAGGGAAUCAUAUUUUAGCGGCGGACGGGUGAGUAACGCGUGAGCAAUCUGUCCCUGACAGGGGGAUAACACUUGGAAACAGGUGCUAAUACCGCAUAAGACCACGAGGCGGCAUCGCCUUGGGGUAAAAGGAGCGAUCCGGUGAGGGGUGAGCUCGCGUCCGAUUAGCCAGUUGGUGAGGUAACGGCCCACCAAAGCGACGAUCGGUAGCCGACCUGAGAGGGUGAUCGGCCACAUUGGAACUGAGAGACGGUCCAAACUCCUACGGGAGGCAGCAGUGGGGAAUAUUGGGCAAUGGGCGAAAGCCUGACCCAGCAACGCCGCGUGAGGGAAGAAGGUUUUCGGAUUGUAAACCUCUGUCCUUGGUGACGAAGGAAGUGACGGUAGCCAAGGAGGAAGCCCCGGCUAACUACGUGCCAGCAGCCGCGGUAAUACGUAGGGGGCGAGCGUUGUCCGGAAUGACUGGGCGUAAAGGGCGCGUAGGCGGUCUAUUAAGUUAGGAGUGAAAGUCCAUAUUUCAAGUAUGGAAUUGCUUUUAAUACUGACGGACUGGAGUGCAGAAGAGGUAAGCGGAAUUCCCAGUGUAGCGGUGAAAUGCGUAGAGAUUGGGAAGAACACCAGUGGCGAAGGCGGCUUACUGGGCUGUAACUGACGCUGAGGCGCGAAAGCGUGGGGAGCGAACAGGAUUAGAUACCCUGGUAGUCCCCU